RNAcentral lists this ribosomal RNA (269 nucleotides) under Skeletonema costatum. RNAcentral describes it as "partial Bacterial large subunit ribosomal RNA". It matches the Rfam family "Bacterial large subunit ribosomal RNA", at positions 1959 to 2227 of the family's 2925-position model. Lineage: Eukaryota; Bacillariophyta; Thalassiosirophyceae; Thalassiosirales; Thalassiosiraceae. The record is from RNAcentral.
GCGAAAUUCCUUGUCAGGUAAGUUCUGACCCGCACGAAUGGCGUAACGACUUGGGCACUGUCUCAACAGCCCACCCGGCGAAAUUGUUGUACUGGUGAAGAAGCCAGUUACCCGCAACUAGACGGAAAGACCCCAUGGAGCUUUACUGUAGCUUAAUACUGGAAAUCGGUAAAUCAUGUACAGGAUAGGUGGGAGGCAUGGAAGCCUGGGCGUCAGCUCAGGUGGAGCCACCCUUGGGAUACCACCCUUGAUUUGCUGGUUUUCUAACC